GGAGGAGUGGCAGAGUGGUUGAUCGCGCGCGACUUGAAAUCGCGUAACUCAAAAGGUUCGUGGGUUCAAAUCCCACCUCCUCCG
RNAcentral lists this transfer RNA (84 nucleotides) under Chlorogloea purpurea SAG 13.99. RNAcentral's name for it is "tRNA-Ser". It matches the Rfam family "tRNA". Rfam says of the family: Transfer RNA (tRNA) molecules are approximately 80 nucleotides in length. Their secondary structure includes four short double-helical elements and three loops (D, anti-codon, and T loops). Lineage: Bacteria; Bacillati; Cyanobacteriota; Cyanophyceae; Chroococcales; Entophysalidaceae. The record is from RNAcentral.